This is a small nucleolar RNA of Cynara cardunculus var. scolymus (artichoke), 90 nucleotides long. Lineage: Eukaryota; Viridiplantae; Streptophyta; Magnoliopsida; Asterales; Asteraceae. The record is from RefSeq and is a predicted model, not a curated record.
CGGGAGUGACUUGAUUUAUUUAUCCACGCUUCUGAGAGCAAUCAAUGAAGUACAGGAUAUAAAAAUGGUUGAAUUUCUUAAUAUGAACCG